GCUUAACACAUGCAAGUCGAGGGACCGGCGCACGGGUGAGUAACACGUAUCCAACCUGCCCUUUACUCGGGGAUAGCCUUUCGAAAGAAAGAUUAAUACCCGAUGUAAAGGAUGGGGAUGCGUUCCAUUAGGUUGUUGGUGAGGUAACGGCCCACCAAGCCUUCGAUGGAUAGGGGUUCUGAGAGGAAGGUCCCCCACAUUGGAACUGAGACACGGUCCAAACUCCUACGGGAGGCAGCAGUGAGGAAUAUUGGUCAAUGGGCGCGAGCCUGAACCAGCCAAGUAGCGUGAAGGAUGACUGCCUAUGGGUUGUAAACUUCUUUUAUAUUAGAAUAUGUAUAAUAUGAAUAAGGAUCGGCUAACUCCGUGCCAGCAGCCGCGGUAAUACGGAGGAUCCGAGCGUUAUCCGGAUUUAUUGGGUUUAAAGGGAGCGUAGGUGGACUGGUAAGUCAGUUGUGAAAGUUUGCGGCUCAACCGUAAAAUUGCAGUUGAUACUGUCAGUCUUGAGUACAGUAGAGGUGGGCGGAAUUCGUGGUGUAGCGGUGAAAUGCUUAGAUAUCACGAAGAACUCCGA
RNAcentral lists this ribosomal RNA (574 nucleotides) under uncultured bacterium. RNAcentral's name for it is "bacterial SSU rRNA". It matches the Rfam family "Bacterial small subunit ribosomal RNA", at positions 46 to 712 of the family's 1533-position model. The record is from RNAcentral.